Long non-coding RNA from Oryzias melastigma (Indian medaka), 386 nucleotides. RefSeq lists it as uncharacterized. The record is from RefSeq and is a predicted model, not a curated record. The transcript has 3 exons. NCBI's taxonomy places the organism in Eukaryota, Metazoa, Chordata, Actinopteri, Beloniformes, Adrianichthyidae.
AGAGGAUGCUCGCCUGAAGAAGAUGCGUUCCGAAUCCAUCUCAUUCGAAGAAGGUGACCUGAAGACCAGCGGCGUGACCGGAAGGAUUGAACAAGAAGCUUUACUUCACGACACCAUGAAGGCAGCCAAAUAGUGCAGAACUCAGUCAUUCAAAGGUAGACAUUCCCUGCCAGAUGUUGUAAAGAUGGACGAAAGAGAACAAAAGGAAACUCUCCAAGAACUCCAACACUGUGAAGAUGAGGACCGAUCCAUGGAGCUGAGGGAGCCGUUCAUGUUUUCUUUUCAGCUGAAGAGUGACUUUGAAGUGUUUUGUGCCGAAAUUAUGGAUGUGAAAAACCUAAAGGUUUAUGUCUGUUUUGAGGAGUAAUAAAUCCUAGUUUUUGCCA